Molecule: ribosomal RNA, 429 nt
Filed under: Bacteroidota bacterium
Lineage: Bacteria; Pseudomonadati; Bacteroidota
Description: Bacteroidetes bacterium partial 16S ribosomal RNA
Rfam family: Bacterial small subunit ribosomal RNA
Source: RNAcentral
UAGGGAAUCUUCCGCAAUGGACGCAAGUCUGACGGAGCAACGCCGCGUGAGUGAAGAAGGAUUUCGGUUCGUAAAACUCUGUUGUUAGAGAAGAACAGCGCAUAGAGUAACUGUUAUGCGUGUGACGGUAUCUAACCAGAAAGCCACGGCUAACUACGUGCCAGCAGCCGCGGUAAUACGUAGGUGGCAAGCGUUGUCCGGAUUUAUUGGGCGUAAAGCGAGCGCAGGCGGUCAAUUAAGUCUGAUGUGAAAGCCCCCGGCUCAACCGGGGAGGGUCAUUGGAAACUGGUUGACUUGAGUGCAGAAUAGGAGAGUGGAAUUCCAUGUGUAGCGGUGAAAUGCGUAGAUAUAUGGAGGAACCCCAGUUGCGAAGGCGACUCUCUGGUCUGUAACUGACGCUGAGGCUCGAAAGCGUGGGUAGCAAAAAGG